CCUACGGGUGGCAGCAGUGGGGAAUAUUGGGCAAUGGGCGCAAGCCUGACCCAGCAACGCCGCGUGAAGGAAGAAGGCUUUCGGGUUGUAAACUUCUUUUGUCAGGGACGAAGCAAGUGACGGUACCUGCCGAAUCAGCCACGGCUACCUACGUGCCAGCAGCCGCGGUAAUACGUAGGUGGCAAGCGUUAUCCGGAUUUAUUGGGUGUAAAGGGCGUGUAGGCGGUAAUGCAAGUCAGAUGUGAAAACUAGGGGCUCAACCUAGAGCCUGCAUUUGAUACUGUAUUUCUUGAGUGCUGGAGAGGCAAUCGGAAUGCCGGGUGUAGCGGUGAAAUGCGUAGAGAUACGGAGGAACACCAGUGGCGAAGGCGGAUUGCUGGACAGUAACUGACGCUGAGGCGCGAAAGCGUGGGGAGCAAACAGGAUUAGAUACCCGAGUAGUC
This 443-nucleotide ribosomal RNA is filed under the name uncultured bacterium. RNAcentral's name for it is "partial 16S ribosomal RNA". It matches the Rfam family "Bacterial small subunit ribosomal RNA", at positions 338 to 795 of the family's 1533-position model. The record is from RNAcentral.